This 497-nucleotide ribosomal RNA is filed under the name uncultured bacterium. Its description in RNAcentral is "partial 16S ribosomal RNA". It matches the Rfam family "Bacterial small subunit ribosomal RNA", at positions 28 to 507 of the family's 1533-position model. The record is from RNAcentral.
GACGAACGCUGGCGGCGUGCCUAAUACAUGCAAGUUGAGCGCUGAAGGUUGGUACUUGUACCGACUGGAUGAGCAGCGAACGGGUGAGUAACGCGUGGGGAAUCUGCCUUUGAGCGGGGGACAACAUUUGGAAACGAAUGCUAAUACCGCAUAAAAACUUUAAACACAAGUUUUAAGUUUGAAAGAUGCAAUUGCAUCACUCAAAGAUGGUCCCGCGUUGUAUUAGCUAGUUGGUGAGGUAAAGGCUCACCAAGGCGAUGAUACAUAGCCGACCUGAGAGGGUGAUCGGCCACAUUGGGACUGAGACACGGCCCAAACUCCUACGGGAGGCAGCAGUAGGGAAUCUUCGGCAAUGGACGAAAGUCUGACCGAGCAACGCCGCGUGAGUGAAGAAGGGUUUCGGAUCGUAAAACUCGGUUGGUAGAGAAGAACGUUGGUGAGAGUGGAAAGCUCAUCAAGUGACGGUAACUACCCAGAAAGGGACGGCUAACUACGUG